GGUGGCUCAGUGGUAGAGUGCUUGCCUUAUAAUGCAUGAGGCCCUGGGUUCGAUUCCUCAGCACCA
This 66-nucleotide transfer RNA is filed under the name Dipodomys ordii (Ord's kangaroo rat). It matches the Rfam family "tRNA". From Rfam's summary of the family: Transfer RNA (tRNA) molecules are approximately 80 nucleotides in length. Their secondary structure includes four short double-helical elements and three loops (D, anti-codon, and T loops). Further hydrogen bonds mediate the characteristic L-shaped molecular structure. tRNAs have two regions of fundamental functional importance: the anti-codon, which is responsible for specific mRNA codon recognition, and the 3' end, to which the tRNAs corresponding amino acid is attached (by aminoacyl-tRNA synthetases). tRNAs cope with the degeneracy of the genetic code in two manners: having more than one tRNA (with a specific anti-codon) for a particular amino acid; and 'wobble' base-pairing, i.e. permitting non-standard base-pairing at the 3rd anti-codon position. The record is from Rfam by way of RNAcentral. Lineage: Eukaryota; Metazoa; Chordata; Mammalia; Rodentia; Heteromyidae.